UCCACCCUGGGCUUUCACAGUCCCACGUGACACGAGUCUCCCUGCAUGUCGCACCUGUUGAUUUCACUGCCUGGAGUGCACUUCCCCAGCCUCUCAGCCCCUCCAUUUCACUUCUCAAACUCCAGCCUGGGCACCACCUCUCCUGCAAAGCCUUUUCCAACCACUCCAGCGAAGGCGGCUCCCCACUCCUUCCUUUGUGCUCUGGGGCCCAUCUUCCUUGGUGGCUGCUGCUGCGUGUGGCACCCACCACGUACCAUCAUUGCCCCCCACAGGCCAGUCCACAGGGCCUA
This 290-nucleotide long non-coding RNA is filed under the name Pan troglodytes (chimpanzee). RNAcentral describes it as "long non-coding RNA NONPTRT017065". Lineage: Eukaryota; Metazoa; Chordata; Mammalia; Primates; Hominidae. The record is from RNAcentral.